This 429-nucleotide ribosomal RNA is filed under the name Bacteroidota bacterium. RNAcentral describes it as "Bacteroidetes bacterium partial 16S ribosomal RNA". It matches the Rfam family "Bacterial small subunit ribosomal RNA", at positions 355 to 776 of the family's 1533-position model. The record is from RNAcentral. Lineage: Bacteria; Pseudomonadati; Bacteroidota.
UAGGGAAUCUUCCGCAAUGGACGCAAGUCUGACGGAGCAACGCCGCGUGAGUGAAGAAGGAUUUCGGUUCGUAAAACUCUGUUGUUAGAGAAGAACAGCGCAUAGAGUAACUGUUAUGCGUGUGACGGUAUCUAACCAGAAAGCCACGGCUAACUACGUGCCAGCAGCCGCGGUAAUACGUAGGUGGCAAGCGUUGUCCGGAUUUAUUGGGCGUAAAGCGAGCGCAGGCGGUCAAUUAAGUCUGAUGUGAAAGCCCCCGGCUCAACCGGAGAGGGUCAUUGGAAACUGGUUGACUUGAGUGCAGAAGAGGAGAGUAGAAUUCCAUGUGUAGCGGUGAAAUGCGUAGAUAUAUGGAGGAACACCAGUGGCGAAGGCGACUCUCUGGUCUGUAACUGACGCUGAGGCUCGAAAGCGUGGGUAGCAAACAGG